Molecule: ribosomal RNA, 505 nt
Filed under: uncultured bacterium
Lineage: Bacteria
Description: bacterial SSU rRNA
Rfam family: Bacterial small subunit ribosomal RNA
Source: RNAcentral
AAGGCGACGAUCCGUAGCGGGUCUGAGAGGAUGAUCCGCCACACUGGGACUGAGACACGGCCCAGACUCCUACGGGAGGCAGCAGUGGGGAAUUUUGGACAAUGGGCGAAAGCCUGAUCCAGCCAUGCCGCGUGAGUGAAGAAGGCCUUCGGGUUGUAAAGCUCUUUCGGUGGGGGAAGAAAUUGCAUAGGCUAAUACCCUGUGUAGAUGACGGUACCUGGAGAAGAAGCACCGGCUAACUACGUGCCAGCAGCCGCGGUAAUACGUAGGGUGCGAGCGUUAAUCGGAAUUACUGGGCGUAAAGCGUGCGCAGGCGGUUUGGUAAGUCAGAUGUGAAAUCCCCGGGGCUCAACCUGGGGAACUGCAUUUGAGACUGCCAAGCUGGAGUUUGGCAGAGGGGGUGGAAUUCCACGUGUAGCAGUGAAAUGCGUAGAGAUGUGGAGGAACACCGAUGGCGAAGGCAGCCCCCUGGGCCAAUACUGACGCUCAUGCACGAAAGCGUGGG